GGACAAGUGAGACUUCAAGAAUACAGGAUGCCUACUGUCCCAUGCUCACGAACUCUCUCCCCUCGCUUGUUCUCUGUUCUUUGCUCAAGUGGUAGAGAUCUAAGCAGCUCAUUUUAAAGAAGGGAAAUGACAUUAAGGCAGAGAGGGCAAAGUCAAACUCAAACUCAUUGAACUUGAGAAAUUAAAAUCACGGCAUGGUGGCUGGUUUUCCUUUUCUCAUUCUUCACAGACAGUGGGAGGAUAUGACUCUGGAAAAUUAACAUCAAGUGCUUGUGAGGAAGAAGGGCCUUCCCACGAAGACCUGAAUACCCACCCCAUGCCUGCAGUUGAGGAUCUUUUAUCAUUGGGUCACAACUACCGGCGUGUGAGGCGCGGAUGAUAUGGAAUCACUUCAAGUUUGGUAUUAGGAACAAAACAAAGCAACACAACCCUUGAAGCUGGCCUGUCCCCAGGGAUACAUAUUCUUCAAAGAAAUCUCCAAUACCAACCACUGU
This 494-nucleotide long non-coding RNA is filed under the name Mus spicilegus (steppe mouse). RNAcentral's name for it is "lncRNA (ENSMSIG00000025672.1)". Lineage: Eukaryota; Metazoa; Chordata; Mammalia; Rodentia; Muridae. The record is from RNAcentral.